Molecule: non-coding RNA, 3225 nt
Organism: Coturnix japonica (Japanese quail)
Lineage: Eukaryota; Metazoa; Chordata; Aves; Galliformes; Phasianidae
Source: RefSeq, a predicted model, not a curated record
CUCCCGGAAGGGGUGGAGCUUGACUCCACUUCUCCUAGACUUCAUAUACAGGCUGACCAGCACUAAGGCAGCAUUGCUUUGAGAUUGCUCCUCUGUGGAGGUUGGAUAGCCAGCCUCAGCAUUUCCCAGUCAGACUGAGGCAUCAAUAUUGGAACAACAAGAAAUUUUUUGAAAGAACCCAGAAAGCAAAAAAAGGCUUCCAGAAGCAUCUAGAUGCUAGGUAAGCUUUAAUUACAAAUGUUAAGCACUCCAAGAGAACCUUCCUAGGAGUUACUAAAGUUAUGACUUUAUAAAGCAAUGGACUUCACACUCAGGAAAACCUUCCCUUUGCCUGGUGUAGAGGAUAAGACAAUCUGGAAAAAAAUGGAUUCCUGGAAGUACUUCAAAACAAAACAAAACGGUGAGAACUCUGGCCCUAUUUCAUGAUGAGGGAAGAAUUUCCUUAUAGUGUAAUCCUACCAAAUACCAUUCAAAUUACCUAGUACAACUGGGAGUACAACUCUUGGAAAACCGAUUCACCAAGUGCUGUGUGAUCAUGCAGACAAAGCUGGGAAACUGAAUCAUUCUCUGCAUCUCCUCUAGGCCUUUAUGUCUUAAUAGCUUUGGACAAGGAAGCCUUUUCAUAGAAACUGUCAAAAGCAGAGCUGAGGAAAAUCAUCAGAUUCCCUCAUGGUUUGCUGCCAGGAACCAGAUAGGUCAAGCCUAGGUUCCCUGGCUGGGUUUUGAUAAAUAGGAUGUUGAUUCAAGAUAUUAAGUCAGCAAAUGAAAGAAGUGAUUACACGGGAGGAAAAAAAAAAAAGAAAAAAUUUGCUGGAAGUAAUUGAAAGGAAUGAAGAUAGGAUGUUUUUUUCACCCUCAGCCCAACUGCCAGACAAAAUGAGGAUCUGUGCACUGAAAUGAAUAUUUCUCUUUCUCUACACAAAAGCUCUUUCUAGCCAAAUUCUCUGUGAGCUACAUACAGCUCGCAAGUAUGUCUGUUUGAUGAGAAAUAAUUUGAUCAAAGUAACAUUUUCUCUGGCAGGUGAACACAAGCCCUUUCUACCUCACAAAGCGCUUUCUUACAACUUUGAGCCAUUUGGUGGCCCACACUGUUCUAGAAGACUGGCCCUAUCUCAAGUUCCCACCAACCUCUUUCAGCUUCCCCAAAGGAAUCUCAGGCUGCUGGGAAGUUAACGAAGCUGUUUUAAUUCCCUCACUAACAGCUUCCAAAAGACGCCUACACCUGGCCAACAUUCUCAACAGAUCACCUGGAAGUGCUAGAAGCAAUCCAUUCUAACAAGUGUAUUUUUUUCAGAGGCGGUUAGAAGCUAAGCUGUUUUGGCUCUGAAUCUUGCAGGUGAACUUUUAUAAACUCAUUCUUCCAGGGACGUGACAUUAUUUAUGCUCUUUCUCUAUCUCUUCCUGGCAGAAAGCAUUUUUCUUUCAUAGAGGGGAAUUCAAAUGAGGUUUCAAAUAUUGUCCAAAAAUUGUGUCCCGACAUGUCUAUCUCUGAUCAAAUGUUUUAACAAUCUUUUUUUUCCCCCCUCCCCUCAACACUCUAAGUACUGCAAUUUUGAUUCAACAAGCAGUCUCUUUAUUCCUCAGGUUAUAGAGGUAUAUGUUUAUUUGGCUUUCAGAUAAGCUUCUCCUGCUAACGGUUUGUACCCACCAGCUACAUUAAUCUUAGGCAGACAAGUUAAAUAACUUAGGCCAGACACCAGGGAAAACCAGAGGCUACCAAGAUAUUUGCUCAGAACAGAACAUGCACAGAGAUGGCUAGUGCUGUACCACAGCUACUGUUUGUGGUCAAAAAGAUGCAUAGCGUGCAAUCAUGUCUGACGUCACAUACCCCUCAAUGAGAAGACAGUCUAUGUGGUCACCCUCACACUUACACAUUUUCUUUAACAAAAGUAUUAAACACAUGGAAGAUGGAAGAAAGUUCAAGGGACUUCUCCAGCUUGGCUAUUCAGUCUGUGGGUCUAAAGCACUUCAAACUCUUUAAUAAGGAGUACAGAAAUAAAGACACGUGCAGAGGGGACUCCUCAGCAGGAACAUCUUUGUGACUAUGUGCAUCAGAUCAGUGAGAAGCAACUGUUGGCUUGAGAAAGGAGUGCAACCCAGACCCCUGUCAGCGUUAAAAUGACAGGAAGCUCAGAGUAGACUGCUUACGAGCUCAAGACAAGCAAGGCAGAAGAACUGCACUGUUUUAGGGGUAAUGUGUAACACUGCCAAGAUAGGACUCCACAGCUGAAAGGCUUUUCAGACACAUUUCAUGGUUAUUAGAUUGUAAAUUUAGGAGUCUUUGGAGACAUGACAUUUUGCUCUGGUUCCUGUAACAGUGAACAUGCUCAAGUCCCAAAGGACAGAUUUCUUUCUAAAAAACUGUUUUAUGAGAGAAACUUUUGAACUGUGUGCCUUCAUAAUAUAAAAGAUAUAGUAGCUACUAUGACAAGAACAAUGAAUAACACAGAUCCUCUUCCCAACAAAAGACAGCAAAGACUGCAUCAUUUCUUACAGUUCCCAGCUGUAAACUAAAUACUUCACUGACUGCAUCUUGCCAUACUUCACUAAGUUCUUCUUAUUCCCUUGAAAAACAAAAAUACAUGCCACACGGGUAAACCUGCAGAGUGCCCUCUGUUGACAGUACACAAAAACUAGAUGUCACAGCAAGUGUUCUCUCAUGACACAUCAAGUAGAGUGACCUGCAGAGCUAAGUAUUUAUGCAGUCUCUCUCUCACCUGCAUACAAAGGCCUUUGGCAACAGGGAGGCAAGUUUCAAAGCUGUACAAGAUGCAUAUAAUCUCUGUUCUGCUAGGGAAGACACAGUGAUGACUAGGUGGAGAUGUUGAUUUAACAUACUACAGGAUCAUUUCAACUUUUCUUAUGCAAUAUUUUCACAUGUAUGGUGAUAUUCAUUGUUCAACAAGAAGAGAAAAAACACAAGUAACGUUCACUGCAUUGUUUAGUCCUUUGUGCAGAAAGAAUUUUCUCAGUACAGAAAAAAAGGGUGUCAAAACCUACUGCAUGCUAAGUACUUACAAUGGCUAAUUCCUACCCAUUCAAAGGCCCUUUUAAACAAACUUAUUUUUGACUACUCACGUUCACAUAUAUUUGUGUUCCCGGCUGUUGCAGGUUGCCACCGUUUCUGAUUAUAGCCAGGGCAGCAGUGGUCACAGGUUUCCCCACAAGUGUUAUGCUGGCAUUCACAAUGAAACCUACAGAAUUAAAGUCACUUAUUAUACUGAA